UACGAAGGUCCCAAGCGUUAUCCGGAUUUAUUGGGCGUAAAGCGCGCGCAGGCGGUUUCUUAAGUCUGAUGUGAAAGCCCACGGCUCAACCGUGGAGGGUCAUUGGAAGCUGGGGAACUUGAGUGCAGAAGAGAAAAGCGGAAUUCCACGUGUAGCGGUGAAAUGCGUAGAGAUGUGGAGGAACACCAGUGGCGAAGGCGGCUUUUUGGUCUGUAACUGACGCUGAGGCGCGAAAGCGUGGGGAGCAAACAGG
RNAcentral lists this ribosomal RNA (253 nucleotides) under uncultured bacterium. Its description in RNAcentral is "partial 16S ribosomal RNA". It matches the Rfam family "Bacterial small subunit ribosomal RNA", at positions 524 to 776 of the family's 1533-position model. The record is from RNAcentral.